CCCUUAGAGUUUGAUCCUGGCUCAGAUUGAACGCUGGCGGCAUGCCUUACACAUGCAAGUCGAACGGCAGCGCGGGGCAACCUGGCGGCGAGUGGCGAACGGGUGAGUAAUAUAUCGGAACGUACCCUGGAGUGGGGGAUAACGUAGCGAAAGUUACGCUAAUACCGCAUACGAUCUAAGGAUGAAAGUGGGGGAUCGCAAGACCUCAUGCUCCUGGAGCGGCCGAUAUCUGAUUAGCUAGUUGGUGGGGUAAAGGCCUACCAAGGCAUCGAUCAGUAGCUGGUCUGAGAGGACGACCAGCCACACUGGAACUGAGACACGGUCCAGACUCCUACGGGAGGCAGCAGUGGGGAAUUUUGGACAAUGGGCGCAAGCCUGAUCCAGCAAUGCCGCGUGAGUGAAGAAGGCCUUCGGGUUGUAGAGCUCUUUUGUCAGGGAAGAAACGGUGAGGGCUAAUAUCCCUUGCUAAUGACGGUACCUGAAGAAUAAGCACCGGCUAACUACGUGCCAGCAGCCGCGGUAAUACGUAGGGUGCAAGCGUUAAUCGGAAUUACUGGGCGUAAAGCGUGCGCAGGCGGUUUUGUAAGUCUGUCGUGAAAUCCCCGGGCUCAACCUGGGAAUUGCGAUGGAGACUGCAAGGCUAGAGUCUGGCAGAGGGGGGUAGAAUUCCACGUGUAGCAGUGAAAUGCGUAGAGAUGUGGAGGAACACCGAUGGC
This 716-nucleotide ribosomal RNA is filed under the name uncultured bacterium. Its description in RNAcentral is "bacterial SSU rRNA". It matches the Rfam family "Bacterial small subunit ribosomal RNA", at positions 1 to 716 of the family's 1533-position model. The record is from RNAcentral.